ACGCUUUCCAACGUGAAAUACAUGAAGACCUUCGGUUUCAGGAGCUUCCUGCCAUUCCUUGCUACGUGGAACGUUGUGACAACCGGAACAAAGCUUCUUAUGAAAUGGAAUAGCUGUUCCUGCUUUCAACAUUUGUACCUGGUAAGAAGAGGGAGAGACGAAGCGAAACGAGAUAACAGCAUUAAUUCCGUCCCCAUCAUGGUCCACGGUCAAAGGAAGCUUCGUUGAUUAAACGACCCUCGCACGUCGUAUACACGUAUUAUAGAACAUAUAUAUGUAUAUGUAUAUGUAUAUACCUAGACAUAUACGUAUACACGUAUACGUAGAUAUACAUCACAUUCAUAUAUUGAUAGUAAAGCAACAUUCUAACGCAUACCUAAUACACUCGACUGAACGUAUGUAUCAACAUGACUUAUAUACGUGUAUACUCACUCAUUCACUUACUCUCUCUCUCUCUCUCUCUCUCUCUCUCUCUCUCUCUCUUUUUCUCUGUGCCUCACACACACUUUCAUGAAUUUAAUUGCCAUCAAGUUCACUCGGUCGACCAUCACACGGCACACGAUAUCGCAGCUCGUUAUUACGGCUAAUAAAAAUGCGCCUUUCGUCGAAAGCUUACCAAAUGAGUUUUAUUGUUCGGUGGUCGAUACUUUUCGUUAACUUCGAAUAUGGACAAGACGUAAACCUUCGGAUUAGAUUUUUGCAAUGCCGGUUGAUCUCUCCUACGGAUCAUUUCAAGAAACUUUUCCGGAAGAUUUGGACUCGGAUAUAAUUCUAUGUCACUUGCAAAAACAUAAUAUGUCGGUGCUGAUUCCCUUGCUAUAUUUCUUCCAACGUUAACGGGAUAAAGAAGUUUCUUUUCGUUUUUGUACAUCUUCGAAAGCGUUAUAUUUACCCAGGGUGGUCCCAACGUACAAUUGUACGUAUCGGACAUAACUUUUUCCGAUGGUGGAACCUAAAGUAUUUAAAAAAAAAAAAAAAAAUAAAAAAAAAGAAAAAAGGAAAAGAAAUACUCGAUCAUUAAAACGAUCAUUAGAAUUAAU
Long non-coding RNA from Vespa mandarinia (Asian giant hornet), 1040 nucleotides. The record is from RefSeq and is a predicted model, not a curated record. Lineage: Eukaryota; Metazoa; Arthropoda; Insecta; Hymenoptera; Vespidae.